This 1455-nucleotide long non-coding RNA is filed under the name Homo sapiens (human). Its description in RNAcentral is "HSALNT0109588". Lineage: Eukaryota; Metazoa; Chordata; Mammalia; Primates; Hominidae. The record is from RNAcentral.
UUGUUUCAGCAGCUGUCCUGUGCAUUGUAGGAAGUUUAGUAGCAUCUCUGGCUCCUAGCAGCUAGAAACCAGUAGCCAACCCUGUCCCCUACCAUUUGUGACAACAAAAAAUGUCUCCAUAUAUUUUCAAAUGUCCCCUGGAGAGAGAAGACAAAAUCUUCCCAGUUGAGAGCCACUGCUUUAACUUUCUACCAUAACCUGUAGAUAUGGGCUAGAGCUCCAGGCCUGCCAUGAAUUUACUUUAUAAUUUCUCAGGUGAAAACUUUGCCUUUUCAGGUCCUGUUUCCUAUAGUACAAUAAUUAAUACUUCUUGUUUUCUGCAUAGACUCAGCCAAAAGAGAAUCAUGGAAAUGGUGGUGUGAGUGGAAACGGGGAGUUAAGAAAACUGAGAUGUUCCAACAGCACACAUGUUGGGAGCAUAAUACAUGUUCUCUUACAGAGGAAGCAAUAUAGAGCAAGCCCACAUUCCAGAGCCCUGAGAAGGCAAAUGAAGGCUAAGAGGAUGAGCUUUGCCACACCAGCAACUUCUUGCCCAACACUGGAGGCUUUAACUUCCUGCGAGGUUCAGGCAAUGUCAAGCUGGCCUCUGGGAGGAAGACAGGCAAGGCUACCUGCAUAAAUACUGUCCAAAAAGCCCUUGCACUGCUGGGAGCCAGAGAGCUGCUUCGUCAUUCCCCAAAAGUGCUGGUUUGAAACUUGUGUUCGAGGAGCACUGGAUUUCCAAUUGCCUUGCAGACUGCCAGCGACACUCCCUGAAAAAUCCUUCAGCCUUCAUACACAGCUCCUUUCACCUCUUAGUAACAAAAUGCUCAUCCUUGGGCACUUGACCAUUUAUGCAGCAUUUCACAGCAUCUCAUCCAAUGCUUACCUCCAUCCUCAGUAGUAAGCAGGAUGUAUGGUACAACCUUCAUUUUAGUGAUGGAAGAACUGAAAAACUCAAAGAGGUGGGAUACUCAUCCAACACUCCCAAUAAGUCAGUAGCAAAUCCAGCAGUAGAAGAACCCAAGUUCUGCCUGGCUAGUUUCUACUCUCCCCUGAGUGCUGGAUUCUCUGGUACAUUCAUAACUCUGUUCUGCCUUGCACACAAAUCAUCUAACCCCUGAAGAAAAGCAUUUCCUCCCAGGGGCAUCUUUCCAUCUCUGAGUCCUGUUGUGCCUGCUGACACUAGCAAACUCUCAUUCCCCAUCUGAAUGAGGCAUUUUUAUUUUUGAAGAUGGCCUAUUUGGAAAAUCCCUAAAACAGUGUUUCCCAAACCCAGGAUCUGUGGCCCACUGAGGGUUUGUUGUUAUAUUCUUAAGUGUCUACAAGAAGUUUAUAUGUACGUUCAUAUUCCUAAGCUUUUAAAAAACAAACAGAAAAGCAAAAAAGCUGAAUGACCAGCUCAUAUUUAAGGACUGCCAGAGGAUUUCAGCAUUUCUGCACUCAUAUUUAUGAGCAUUCUGCAAACUACACAGC